Molecule: ribosomal RNA, 253 nt
Filed under: uncultured bacterium
Lineage: Bacteria
Description: partial 16S ribosomal RNA
Rfam family: Bacterial small subunit ribosomal RNA
Source: RNAcentral
UACAGAGGGGGCAAGCGUUAUUCGGAAUUAUUGGGCGUAAAGGGCGCGUAGGCGGCCUGACAAGUGGAAGGUGAAAUCCCUCGGCUUAACCGAGGAACUGCCUUCCAAACUGUUUGGCUUGAGUCCGGGAGAGGCGAGUGGAAUUCCCAGUGUAGCGGUGAAAUGCGUAGAUAUUGGGAGGAACACCAGUGGCGAAGGCGGCUCGCUGGACCGGAACUGACGCUGAGGCGCGAAAGCGUGGGGAGCAAACGGG